This 935-nucleotide long non-coding RNA is filed under the name Homo sapiens (human). Its description in RNAcentral is "HSALNT0083622". Lineage: Eukaryota; Metazoa; Chordata; Mammalia; Primates; Hominidae. The record is from RNAcentral.
CGGAGCACAGUGCCUGUUAACAACCUGAGCAAGAUAAGGAUAAUAGCACCCUGCAACUUCUCACCAAGAGAGAGGGCAUCUCUGAACAAGACCGCUGAAGCUGAGAGCUGGAAGGAGCUGAGUGUCUUCUAGUCUCUCCCAGGAGGGAAGAGCUGUGCUGAUGGACAAGAGGACAGGUUGGACACUGUGCUGAUGGACAAGAGGACAGGUAUGCUUCUACCAAAGAAAAAAUCAUGCUACUGUUUCCAAACACACUCUACUCAAUGACUGUCUCAUGUUCAGUAGAGCAAGAGCACCGGCAUUCAAAACUAAAAUUUCUACUCAAGAGCCAAUCCUCGUGGGAACAUAUGUGCAGAGGAGAUCAAUGAUGAAGGUGGCUGAGAGAUGCCAGGUGUCUCCAGGGCUUCCCUGGGUGGCUGUGAGCACAGCAGAUCUGCUUGCCAGUUUGUUCCACACGUGGGGGCGUGAGCACGAGCCACCAACAUGGAUUGGAGCUCUUCUCGGCUGUUUUAAGACUGUUUCAAGCUGUCCACCAUCUUCGGAAUUCCCUUUAUUCUUCCGAAGUGCCAGUUUCCUAUUAGAACCAAAAUAGAAUCAUCAUUUUCGUAUUUUCAAUGGAUUCAGAAACUAAAAAUGUUUUCUGGCAUCAAUUUCUGGGAAAAUGUACAUGCUAAUGUUUUGAAGGGAUUUGCAUAUGGGAACAACUUGCUCUCAUGAUAAAUUUUUUCUGCAUGGGCUCUGGCCUCAGGAGUCUGGCCUCAAAUCUCAAUUCUGAAAAUAGGUAUGGUAACGAUAUAACAAUAAUCAUAAUAAUUAUCCCAUAUAGUUGUUUCCAGGGCUAAAUAAAAUAGUCUAUGUGAGUUGCUUGGUGCAACACCUGAUUCAUAGAAGCCCUCUAAAAAUAAGGAGCGGAAGGGAUGGAACGGAGGUUAGAA